RNAcentral lists this ribosomal RNA (559 nucleotides) under Escherichia coli. Its description in RNAcentral is "bacterial SSU rRNA". The record is from RNAcentral. Lineage: Bacteria; Pseudomonadati; Pseudomonadota; Gammaproteobacteria; Enterobacterales; Enterobacteriaceae.
UUGCUGYUUYGCUGACGAGUGGCGGACGGGUGAGUAAUGUCUGGGAAACUGCCUGAUGGAGGGGGAUAACUACUGGAAACGGUAGCUAAUACCGCAUAACGUCGCAAGACCAAAGAGGGGGACCUUCGGGCCUCUUGCCAUCGGAUGUGCCCAGAUGGGAUUAGCUWGUWGGUGGGGUAACGGCUCACCWAGGCGACGAUCCCUAGCUGGUCUGAGAGGAUGACCAGCCACACUGGAACUGAGACACGGUCCAGACUCCUACGGGAGGCAGCAGUGGGGAAUAUUGCACAAUGGGCGCAAGCCUGAUGCAGCCAUGCCGCGUGUAUGAAGAAGGCCUUCGGGUUGUAAAGUACUUUCAGCGGGGAGGAAGGGAGUAAAGUUAAUACCUUUGCUCAUUGACGUUACCCGCAGAAGAAGCACCGGCUAACUCCGUGCCAGCAGCCGCGGUAAUACGGAGGGUGCAAGCGUUAAUCGGAAUUACUGGGCGUAAAGCGCACGCAGGCGGUUUGUUAAGUCAGAUGUGAAAUCCCCGGGCUCAACCUGGGAACUGCAUCUGAUA